AAUCUCAGGCCAAGGAUGUCAUCG
This 24-nucleotide non-coding RNA is filed under the name Cricetulus griseus (Chinese hamster). The record is from RNAcentral. Lineage: Eukaryota; Metazoa; Chordata; Mammalia; Rodentia; Cricetidae.